CAAGGAACAGAGGGAGAGCUUGUUCCAGCAGACGGGCCCCAUCCGCUCCUCCCGUCCGAGGGCUGGGAAGAAGGGAUGGAGGCGAAGGGAACUCUCCCACCCCUCCGGGGCCCCGCGGGCGCGCUGCUUCCCAGAAAAUACGGUAAAAAGCCUUCAGCCUAAAAAUAACUGCAGCCCGUGGCUGCCCAAGGCUGAGGAACCAGCCCCUCGGGGCUCACUUAGAGAUGUCAACGUGUGGCCAUUGGCCGGUCUCUCUGAUGGGCAGAAGUCAUCUGGCGAGGUGCUGAUCCUCCUAUAGUGUUUGCAAGAUCUUUAAGAAGAAUUGCAUGGCCGAUGUCGUUGCGUUUGAGUUGUGCUAGAAUACCCUGACCAUCAGAGGACUUGGAUUUUAUGACAGAAGAGAUCAGCACUGCAAAGACAUGGCGAUGUUGUUCACAUUGCCUGGACCUGAGCCCAGGGUCCGGGACCAGACCUGUCUCAUACCCACACCUUAGAAGACAGCGCCGUGUUCGUGUUUUCUUUUUGCAGGCUGAAAGCUUUCCUGGACCUGCUGAACACUUCUGCUGUAAUCUGUCGUGGCUGUCAGGGUGCCAAGAGACAUGCCAGACCCUGGGCCACAAUAGUGGAACAGACAUGCCCAGAGCUGAAAGCUGGCACAAGGUAGUGUAUAAAGUGAGAUAUGUGAAGCCACGGGCAAAUAGUUUGGUAAUCACGUGGGUCAGUUAGGCUUGGCACAGGGCAGAGCCUGUCUGCUCAUCAAGGAAGGCAGAGACAAAACUUCGUCAUAGAAUCAUAGAAUAUUUGAAUUAUUGAAUCAUUGAAUGGCUUGGGUUAGAAGGGACCUUACAGCCCACCCAGCUCCAACCCCAGUGCCAUGGGCACAGUUGCCACUCACUGCAUCAGGUUGCCCAGUGCCCCACACAACCUGGUCUUGAGAAGAGUUGGGGGACUUCUUAAUGAGAGCUACGAGGAUUAAACAAAAACAAUUACUCCAGAAGGACUGAGGUAAAGGACACAGUGUUGUCUCAGUGGGGUCGCAAACACAUUUCAAAACAGAUUUUUGCAGAAAGAGAUGUUUCCCAUUCCCCAGAUAUCUUGUUCCCAACAACGAUUCUCGUUUCACAGUAAGGUUCAGGGUUGGAGGAAGGAGCAUGAGCCUUGCUCAGCAUUGGUGCAGGGGAUGCUCCACGUGUCUCCUCACCUAGAAAGCUAAACCUCAAAGAAUAGAAGAGCACAAUUCACUCCUCGCAGAUGGGGAAAUGGUGCAGUGAGUCAGCAAGGCAGACCACAGAUGCUGUCCAAAAGCAUUGCAGCAAUUAGUUGGAGCAAGGUGGAGAUAUAUUCCUCCAAAAUGAAAGUCUCUGUAGGCUGUUACCAGUGCUCACAGCCAUCUAGUCCCUUGCUGAACAUUUCUGACCAAAAUCCUUCCAAGCUGAUCUAUUUUCAGCCCAACCCACUCGAUACCUUGAUUGCUACGCAGCUCUUUUAGCUGCUCUUAGGUAAACAUGUUGUCAUUCCCUGGCAUUUUGCCUCGCUAAGACCAAAAAUAUGAGUGGCACAGAAAAUAAGAAAAGCUGUUCUCCUCCGCCAGGAAAAAUGAUGCUAUUUCUGAAAUAAACUGUUUUUAAUACACCUCACCAGCCAUGUGCAUAUACACACAUGUAUAAAUAUACUUGACCCGGAGGUCCAGUUCCAGUGUUGGCAUCUUGUAUGCCUAUAUGGAGACAGAACAGAGAGGGAAUUAUGUAUGUACAAACCAGGACACACCUUCGGUCCAGUCUACAUCUGAAUGCAGAACGUUGGUUAAGACAAAAUACUGAGGUCUGAUCCCCAUUAAAACAGGUUCACAGGGACUGGUCCAAACUGAGACCAGAGAGUUAUGGGCUGUCAUGAGGAGCAGCUUCUACCAUAGCGACCCAUGUGCCCCAUACCUAAAACCAGCAUCCCCAGGGUUGAACCAGAGCAGGCUGGAGCAGAUCAGUGUCAGAGCUCUAUCCACAGCAGGCCUUGUUUUUGAGGAAUGACAGUGAUGUUGGCCAGACCUCCAAGCCUCUUUUUUUUUCAGAUUUCUCUUUAUCGAGUAAACACAUAGAAGUCAACAACAGAUGGAGCAUCACAUGGAGUUACGCAGACAGGUGUUGACUAGCUGGUGGUGUUCCAAGAAAGGACGGUCCCAUCUGGUCAUGGGGAGAGCUGUGAUGGUGCGAAAAGAAGAGAGUGAUCACCAUGGACAAAGAGCAUCCCACGAACUCAUGUCAGAGAAGAGUUUUUGUCUUGGAGGUGGAGGGCUCAGUCGGUGGGAGAAGUAGGGCUACUUCUACGUGGGGUGUGGAUGGAGAAGUUUGAGAAACGGAAGGAGAACCCAUGGAGACAAUGUGAGACAUCCCCAGAAUGAAUCCAGAUGUGCUGCUCUGUCUGUAACCCAGUGCUGUAAGGAGGACUGAGAUCUGCUGCACUGCAAGCCUGGAUAAAGAUACCCACCAUGGAUCUUCUCCCUGGACUCCUGACCCCAACUGCUCACCUUCCUCCUUCUGCCCUGGGCUAACUUCUCCUCGACUUCUGCUUUGGUUGAAAAGAGGCUGGGGUAAAAAAAGGGGGAAGGGGAGCCUGAAGGUGCAGUGAAAUUUGGUUUUUCAGCUUUAUUGCAUAAGGAAGCCCUGACAGCUUUUAACACCAUUGUCACUUGCAGGAAGAAAAGUUGUUGGCAGUUUGUGGGGGUCUCCUUUGGCUUUAGAUGGAGCAGAAGAAUGCACUAUCACUUCUGCUAUAGGCUGUGCUUAGCAGUGGAGCAAGGCAUUGCCCUAGCACCAGCAGCGCUCUGAAUUCAUCUCCACACUCCAUGUUUUCCUUCACUAAGUCUAAUGAGGGCUGCAGGCUGCUAGGGAGGCACGCAGCAAUAAAGACUGAAAACAGUACGCAGGACUUCCAGCUGCAAACUGUGUGUGACCCAGGACCUGACUUGACUUGGCUUGUGUGGGGAUCCUCUUCCCAAUAUCUGAUUCACCCUCAUACUGUAUGUAGCAUCAUGGUUUUUGUCAGCAUUCCAUAUCAUAGCAUCAUGUCAUACGUUCUCAGUACUGGGGCUGCUGGGGUUGUAAUUCCUGGUUUCCUUAUGGUGUGAUGUUAUGAUAUGGAAUAUCGAUGGACAGUACCCUGGACGUGCUCCAUAGGCAUAGGGGGACCCAGGGUGAAAGCCCACCCAAGGACCGCAGACAAGGGCACCCAUAAUAACUAGAGGGUAGCUGGAGAAGCAGCACCAUUGGGUGUAUCAGCUGUGUGUAACCUCCAGCAGCAUCAUACAAGAAAUGUUUGGCCUGACCCAAAGCCCACUGGAGAAAAUAAGGAGAAGCAUCACUUCCAGGAACAGCAUGGAUGUGGUGCAAUCAGGGAGAAAGGCAAGAAAAGCUGUGCAAGCAUUUGCCUAACGUUCUUCUGGGAGAUAAUAAUUGCCAAACAGCACUUGUUCCCUCCCUUUAUCCCACUCUGUCCUUCAGGGACAUCUGUUCCAAAGGGAAGAACCUGAUAAUUAUGGAUUGGGUCCUCCGAUGGAGGCUGGAUAUGGCCCCAAGGCAGCCAGCCUCCCUGUGCACAGUGCUCAUGCUGGGAAUGCAGCCUGUGAGUGGUUCAAUUAAAAGGUUUCUCAGCAAUGACACCAGCAGAGGCACAAGAAGCAGACAACCUAUUCACAGACCAAUUAGUUUUAUGAAUAAAUGUGUGCAGGACAGUGAGCCCAUCGGCUGAGCGAGCCAUGCCGGAGUGCUGAGCAGCACUGGGAAAUAUUCUAUUGGGAAGUUUUAAAUGCCAGUCUCCGUGCAUGGAUGGGGCUGCGUGGCUUUCCAUCAGCUCAAGCUUGCCCCUGCUGAUCCUUCAAUUCACGCUGUCUUCUCCCCAUAUAUGCCAUUCUCAUGGGCUUGGUGGGGGCAAACGCUUCGCAUGCAUGUUUUACCCAGCUCCAUCAUGUCAUCCUUCCCUUCGUGGCCAGAAUGGGCCAUGAACUCCCAUUUCUUCCCAUCAGACUGGGUUGCCUUGCAAAGGGCCCAGCCCCUCUCACCCUAUUUGAGGACCUGGGGGUUCACUGGGGCCAGCACCACUGGGCUCCAGCCUCCUGCAGCCCCAACAUAGGCCAGGUGGGUGUCAGAGCAGCUCCAAUCCCAGUAGGCGUUUAGUGUCAUUUAUACCAAGGCUAAUUACAUCUUAACAUUUUCCCUCUGUAUUUUGGUAUUUAUUUUGGAAAAGCUCCUCCCUGGAGUCACUUUCUUCCCCAGCUCUACAACAACAACAAUAACAGCAGUGCACUGCCUUUUCCCUUGGCUCCUUCCCUCAUUAUUAUAGCUCUGCCAUGCUGUUCCAGUACAGUCAGCAGAGGAAUUCAAUCAGGCUGAUGAGUAAAAGUGCAUAAUUUUAUGGCUGCAUAUCAACUGCUUGUUAUUAAACUAAUCAAUCAGCUUCAGUGCAGCUACCGGUAAAGCACGGGAGAGGGCAAAGUGAAAGAAUUGCUAUGCUGUUCUUUUUCCAAAAGGACAAAAAGACAAUUCCAAUCUGGCCAGUCGAAUUCUUCGGCUUGUACUUCUCUGCUGUAAGAAAUGCUUUGCCUGAGUUAUGGAUCGGUUGACCUGCAGCACAGUAAUGAUGGAGCUGGUGCUGCCCUUGUGCUCACCUCCAGCACUAAGCCCUAACAUGGCAACCUGCUGCAGGGAACCAGCUUUAGUAGGAGGUUGGCAUAGAUCAUCUCCAGAGGUCCCAUCCAACCUCUACAAUACUGUGAUUCUGUGAUUUGCCAUGCCCCAAAGCCCAGGAAAGUCACCAGGUACUCCCACCAUAUCUCAUCUUCUCAGGAAGAGUGGUAAUGCAUUGGAACAGGCUUUGGGGAAGUGGUGGAGUCAUCAUUCCUGAAGGUUUUCAAGGAACAUGGAGAUGUGGCACUGAGGGACAUAGUUAGUGGGCAUGAUGGGGAAGGGUUGGGAUUGGACUUGAUGAUUUUAGAGGCCUUCUCCAGCCUUCAUGAUUCUAUGAUUCUGAAGGUCUGUCCUCCAUGCCCACAAGAGCACAGCAAGUAAGGAAUUGCAUCACACAAAGAGAAACCUGGGCUACACAUCAGGUGUAACUUCCUACAGGAGAAGGGUGAGCAGCCAUUGGGACACACUGCCAGGAGGCACUGGAGGUCCUGGAACAAGCACUAUGUGCUUCUUCUAUAGCAACAUUGGGGUUGGUGUUGGUGAGGUUCUGCUUGUGGCUAGAGAUAGUUAUGAUGGAGUUGGAGGUCCCUCACAGCUCUAGGGGAGAGAGAGACUCAUCCUCUUUGCCAUCCAAGAGGAGGAGAAGGUGUAACAGGGCUUGGAACCUCAAAGCCAGACAGUGGGAUCUUUUGUGUUAAUGGACGUGGG
This 5384-nucleotide long non-coding RNA is filed under the name Gallus gallus (chicken). Its description in RNAcentral is "lncRNA (ENSGALG00010027596.1)". The record is from RNAcentral. Lineage: Eukaryota; Metazoa; Chordata; Aves; Galliformes; Phasianidae.